AUUGAACGCUGGCGGCAGGCCUAACACAUGCAAGUCGAACGGUAACAGGAAGCAGCUUGCUGCUUUGCUGACGAGUGGCGGACGGGUGAGUAAUGUCUGGGAAACUGCCUGAUGGAGGGGGAUAACUACUGGAAACGGUAGCUAAUACCGCAUAACGUCGCAAGACAAAAGAGGGGGACCUUAGGGCCUCUUGCCAUCGGAUGUGCCCAGAUGGGAUUAGCUAGUAGGUGGGGUAACGGCUCACCUAGGCGACGAUCCCUAGCUGGUCUGAGAGGAUGACCAGCCACACUGGAACUGAGACACGGUCCAGACUCCUACGGGAGGCAGCAGUGGGGAAUAUUGCACAAUGGGCGCAAGCCUGAUGCAGCCAUGCCGCGUGUAUGAAGAAGGCCUUCGGGUUGUAAAGUACUUUCGGCGGGGAGGAAGGGAGUAAAGUUAAUACCUUUGCUCAUUGACGUUACCCGCAGAAGAAGCACCGGCUAACUCCGUG
This 490-nucleotide ribosomal RNA is filed under the name uncultured bacterium. Its description in RNAcentral is "partial 16S ribosomal RNA". It matches the Rfam family "Bacterial small subunit ribosomal RNA", at positions 30 to 507 of the family's 1533-position model. The record is from RNAcentral.